GAAUGAAAACGACUUUGGAAAGAGAGUUAAACAGUACGUGAAAUUGCUGAAGAGGAAACGCUUGAAGUACGUCGCGUCAUUCAGAACUCAGCCUGGCUUUUGCCUGGUGUAUUUUCUGGUUGACGGGCCAGCAUCAGUUUUGACCGCUGGAAAAGGCCAUAGGAAUGUGGCACCCUCGGGUGUGUUAUAGGGUAUGGUCAUAUACAGCGGUUGGGACUGAGGACCGCAGCACGCCUUUAU
This 240-nucleotide ribosomal RNA is filed under the name Lentinus sp. S3003. RNAcentral describes it as "partial large subunit ribosomal RNA". The record is from RNAcentral. Lineage: Eukaryota; Fungi; Basidiomycota; Agaricomycetes; Polyporales; Polyporaceae.